Molecule: small RNA, 2409 nt
Filed under: Pongo abelii (Sumatran orangutan)
Lineage: Eukaryota; Metazoa; Chordata; Mammalia; Primates; Hominidae
Description: retained intron
Source: RNAcentral
CUAAAUUAAAAUUAUAAAAAUCUGAAGGUAAUAUUCACAAGUGUCAUAUAUCAGAGUUAGAUAGUAAUCUACCUUUUUCAUCUUCACUUUCGAAUGGCUACUUCUACCUCUUUUUUUAUUUUGCCAGGUGGUUAGAUGAACGUCAUGCACAAUCUCACUUUAUUCCAGCUUUAUUCCGACCUUCUCCUCUUGAGCGGAUAAAAACUAAUGUCAUAAAUCCUGCAUAUGCUACUGAAUCAGGUCAGACAGAAAACUCACUACAUAUGGGCUAUAGUGCACUAGAAAUAAAGAGUAAAAUGUUAGCCCUAGAGAAAGCAGAUACCUGUAUUUACAACCCUUUGUUUGGAUCAGAUCUUCAAUAUACAAAUCGGGUAGAUAAAGUGGUAAUAAAUCCAUACUUUGGUCUAGGAGCUCCAGACUACUCAAAAAUCCAAAUACCUAAACAGGAAAAAUGGCAGAGAAGCAUGAGCAGUGUCACAGAAGACAAGGAACGACAGUGGGUAGAUGAUUUUCCUCUCCACCGAAGCGCCUGUGAAGGAGAUUCAGAAUUACUAAGCCGUCUUCUCAGUGAAAGAUUUUCAGUCAACCAAUUAGAUAGUGACCACUGGGCACCCAUUCAUUAUGCAUGCUGGUAUGGAAAAGUUGAGGCCACUCGCAUAUUGUUAGAGAAAGGAAAGUGCAAUCCAAACCUUUUAAAUGGACAACUUAGUUCUCCUCUUCAUUUUGCUGCUGGAGGAGGACAUGCUGAAAUAGUACAGAUUCUCCUAAACCAUCCAGAAAUUGAUAGACAUAUAACAGACCAACAAGGAAGAUCUCCAUUAAAUAUUUGUGAAGAAAACAAACAAAACAACUGGGAAGAAGCUGCAAAAUUGUUGAAGGAAGCCAUUAACAAACCAUAUGAAAAAUUUCGAAUAUACAGAAUGGAUGGGUCAUAUCGUUCUGUUGAAUUGAAGCAUGGAAAUAAUACCACAGUGCAGCAGAUAAUGGAAGGAAUGCGUCUCUCUCAAGAAACUCAGCAAUAUUUCACUAUAUGGAUUUGUUCAGAAAACCUCAGCCUUCAACUCAAACCGUAUCAUAAACCCUUGCAACAUGUUCGUGACUGGCCAGAAAUACUUGCUGAAUUGACUAAUCUGGAUCCUCAAAGGGAAACACCUCAGCUUUUUCUAAGAAGAGAUGUGAGACUUCCUUUGGAAGUUGAAAAACAGAUUGAAGACCCACUAGCUAUUCUUAUUCUCUUUGAUGAAGCCAGAUAUAAUUUAUUGAAGGGCUUUUAUACAGCUCCUGAUGCUAAGCUGAUAACAUUGGCAAGUCUGCUUUUGCAAAUAGUCUAUGGAAAUUAUGAGAGUAAAAAACACAAGCAAGGUUUCCUAAAUGAAGAAAAUCUAAAAUCCAUCGUACCUGUUACCAAACUGAAAAGUAAGGCACCUCACUGGACAAAUCGCAUACUUCAUGAAUACAAGAAUCUCAGUACAAGUGAAGGUGUCAGUAAAGAAAUGCAUCACCUUCAGCGCAUGUUCUUACAGAAUUGCUGGGAAAUUCCUACUUAUGGAGCAGCAUUUUUCACAGGACAGAUAUUUACAAAGGCAAGCCCCAGCAAUCAUAAAGUCAUCCCUGUGUAUGUAGGAGUGAAUAUAAAAGGACUUCAUCUCCUCAACAUGGAAACUAAGGCUUUACUCAUCAGUCUUAAAUAUGGUUGUUUUAUGUGGCAAUUGGGAGAUACUGAUACUUGUUUUCAGAUCCAUAGCAUGGAAAAUAAAAUGAGCUUUAUAGUACAUACAAAACAGGCUGGUCUCGUGGUAAAACUGUUAAUGAAGCUAAAUGGACAGUUAAUGCCCACUGAAAGAAAUUCAUGAAAGAGAAGUAACUGUUACUCAAGCCACCACAUUUUGUAAUGCAGAGUUUUUUUUCCGUGAAAGAUUUCUUAAAGUAUUACUUUUGGCCGAGCGUGGUGGCUCACCCCUGUAAUUCCAACACUUUGGGAGGCUGGGGCAGGCGGAUCACCUGAAGUCAGAGUUCAAGACCAGCCUGGCCAACAUGGUGAAACCCUUUCUCUACAAAAAUACAAAAAUUAGCUGGACGUGGUGGCGGGCGCCUAUAAUCCUAGCUACUAGGGAGGCCGAGGUGGGAGAUCGCUUAAACCCAGGAGGUGGAGGUUGUAGUGAGCCAAGAUUGCACUGCGGCACUCUAGCCUGGGUGACAGAGCAAGACUCCAUCUCAAAAAAAAAAAAAAUACUUUCAACAAGGCAUUUAGUCUCUUGUAAUAUAUAUGUAUACUAUUACAUUGUACAGAAUCUGUACUUAUGUUUGGUGUGUAAUAUACCAAUUAGUUUUAUAUAUUAUCCUCAUAAGCUAUUCUAAUUUUUGAGAGAAACACAAAAAGUUAUAGAUUGAUAGUCUGUAUAAUAUUAG